AACACCAGAGGUAAGUUCUGAUCAUAACACAUAAGAAACACAAUUCAUUUCUCGAUUCUCAUAUUAAUUUUUUUCAGUAGUGAGAUGGAAAAGCUUUUUCAUCUGAUUAUACUUUCUGGUCUUGUUUCCAGUCAGAAUAAUUUAGACCUAUUAGAAGAGAAUUUAGCAUUAAAGGGAACGGCUACACAGAGCUCCAUAUAUUCUCCUCACACAGCUGGAAGAUCUAGUGAUGGUCUUUGCGGACACUGCUCCAUUACAGCAUAUGAAAUGAG
Long non-coding RNA from Triplophysa dalaica, 272 nucleotides. RefSeq lists it as uncharacterized. The record is from RefSeq and is a predicted model, not a curated record. The transcript is spliced from 3 exons. NCBI's taxonomy places the organism in Eukaryota, Metazoa, Chordata, Actinopteri, Cypriniformes, Nemacheilidae.